ACAAAAUUAAAAUAUCAUGAGACGAAAAAUAUAGCGGGACGGGUUUAGAUUGAUAUGAAAUAUAGCAGGAUGGGUUUGGAUUGAUAUAACACAGGUUAAA
This 100-nucleotide small RNA is filed under the name Arabidopsis thaliana (thale cress). RNAcentral describes it as "ATSL041020". Lineage: Eukaryota; Viridiplantae; Streptophyta; Magnoliopsida; Brassicales; Brassicaceae. The record is from RNAcentral.